RNAcentral lists this long non-coding RNA (591 nucleotides) under Trifolium pratense (red clover). RNAcentral describes it as "long non-coding RNA (TPRA_LNC003526)". The record is from RNAcentral. Lineage: Eukaryota; Viridiplantae; Streptophyta; Magnoliopsida; Fabales; Fabaceae.
UCCUUAUUUUUCAGAUUUUGUAAAGAUUUGUUUUAUUAAUACUCUAUUACUUAUUUUUAAUUAUUAAGGACUUGUAAUAAUUUAAUUGGUUGUGCCUAAUCAUUAAUGCUUAGGUGUGGACUCACCUAAGAAUUUCUCAUUACGGCUUACAUGUGCAUUGAUUUGGUCAAAAUCAAUGAAGGACCCAUGCGAAUGGACAAAUCUAUAAAGUAUUAAGAUUAUAAAAUCGAAAUUGUAAAGUGCGUGAAUCGUAAGUUUGUGAAAGAUCCAAAAUCUAGGGAGAAAAAGAUAAUUUCAUUUCAUUUAUUAUCAACAUUACUUUAUUAUACAAAUUUAAAUUUGCAAGUAUUAAGAAGAAAAAAAAUAAAAAUAAAAAUAUAAUUAUAGGUUCUUUAGUUGGAGUCUUGGAGAACUCAAUCUUUCCUAUAUAUAUUGGGUGUAAUUGAAUUCAAUUGGUGACAAUGGCCAUCGAUGCAUGCAGCAAUGAGAACGUGGGGUAGAAAAACUACAUGAGGGCAAUCUUGAGUGGUUGUACAUUUGAUUAAUGGGAUAAAUGGGGAGGUUGCAAUUGGAUGAGCGGAUUUAGUCNCA